CCUACGGGAGGCAGCAGUGGGGGAUAUUGCACAAUGGGGGAAACCCUGAUGCAGCGACGCCGCGUGGGUGAAGAAGCGCCUCGGCGCGUAAAGCCCUGUCAGCAGGGAAGAAAAUGACGGUACCUGAAGAAGAAGCCCCGGCUAACUACGUGCCAGCAGCCGCGGUCAUACGUAGGGGGCGAGCGUUAUCCGGAUUUACUGGGUGUAAAGGGGGCGCAGACGGCGAUGCAAGCCAGGAGUGAAAGCCGGGGGCCCAACCCCGGGACUGCUAUUGGAACUGCGUGGCUAGAGUGCAGGAGGGGCAGGCGGAAUUCGUGGUGGAGCGGUGAAAUGCGUAGAUAUCAGGAGGAACACCGGUGGCGAAGGCGGCCUGCUGGACUGCAACUGACGUUGAGGCCCGAAAGCGUGGGGAGCAAACAGGAUUAGAUACCCUGGUAGUC
Molecule: ribosomal RNA, 440 nt
Filed under: uncultured bacterium
Lineage: Bacteria
Description: partial 16S ribosomal RNA
Rfam family: Bacterial small subunit ribosomal RNA
Source: RNAcentral